RNAcentral lists this ribosomal RNA (818 nucleotides) under uncultured Actinomycetes bacterium. Its description in RNAcentral is "bacterial SSU rRNA". It matches the Rfam family "Bacterial small subunit ribosomal RNA", at positions 335 to 1167 of the family's 1533-position model. Lineage: Bacteria; Bacillati; Actinomycetota; Actinomycetes. The record is from RNAcentral.
ACUCUACGGGAGGCAGCAGUGGGGAAUAUUGCACAAUGGGCGCAAGCCUGAUGCAGCAACGCCGCGUGAGGGACGACGGCCUUCGGGUUGUAAACCUCUUUUAGUAGGGAAGAAGCGAAAGUGACGGUACCUGCAGAAAAAGCACCGGCUAACUACGUGCCAGCAGCCGCGGUAAUACGUAGGGUGCAAGCGUUAUCCGGAAUUAUUGGGCGUAAAGAGCUCGUAGGCGGUUUGUCGCGUCUGCUGUGAAAUCUGGGGGCUCAACCCCCAGCCUGCAGUGGGUACGGGCAGACUAGAGUGCGGUAGGGGAGAUUGGAAUUCCUGGUGUAGCGGUGGAAUGCGCAGAUAUCAGGAGGAACACCAAUAGCGAAGGCAGAUCUCUGGGCCGUAACUGACGCUGAGGAGCGAAAGCAUGGGGAGCGAACAGGAUUAGAUACCCUGGUAGUCCAUGCCGUAAACGUUGGGAACUAGAUGUAGGGGCCAUUCCACGGUUUCUGUGUCGCAGCUAACGCAUUAAGUUCCCCGCCUGGGGAGUACGGCCGCAAGGCUAAAACUCAAAGGAAUUGACGGGGGCCCGCACAAGCGGCGGAGCAUGCGGAUUAAUUCGAUGCAACGCGAAGAACCUUACCAAGGCUUGACAUAUACCGGUAAAGGCUGGAAACAGUCUCCCCGCAAGGUCGGUAUACAGGUGGUGCAUGGUUGUCGUCAGCUCGUGUCGUGAGAUGUUGGGUUAAGUCCCGCAACGAGCGCAACCCUCGUUCUAUGUUGCCAGCACGUUAUGGUGGGAACUCAUAGGAGACUGCCGGGGUCAACUCGGA